RNAcentral lists this ribosomal RNA (515 nucleotides) under uncultured archaeon. RNAcentral describes it as "bacterial SSU rRNA". It matches the Rfam family "Archaeal small subunit ribosomal RNA", at positions 345 to 859 of the family's 1478-position model. The record is from RNAcentral.
AACCUUUACACUGCACGACAGUGCGAUAGGGGGACUCCGAGUGCGAGGGCAUAUAGUCCUCGCUUUUCUGUACCGUAAGGUGGUACAGGAACAAGGGCUGGGCAAGACCGGUGCCAGCCGCGUCGGUAACACCGGCAGCGCAAGUGAUGGCCGAUUGUAUUGGGCCUAAAGCGUCCGUAGCUGGCCGCGCAAGUUCGUCGGGAAAUCCACGCGCUUAACGUGUGGGCGUCCGGCGGAAACUGAUCGGCUUGGGACCGGAAGACUCGAGGGGUACGUCCGGGGUAGGAGUGAAAUCCCGUAAUCCUGGACGGACCACCGAUGGCGAAAGCACCUCAGAAGGACGGAUCCGACAGUGAGGGACGAAAGCCAGGGUCUCGAACCGGAUUAGAUACCCGGGUAGUCCUGGCCGUAAACGAUGUUCGCUAGGUGUGGCGCAGGCUACGAGCCUGCGCUGUGCCGUAGGGAAGCCGUGAAGCGAACCGCCUGGGAAGUACGCCUGCAAGGAUGAAACUUAA